GGAGGAGGAGAGAGCCCGAAAAGAAAAGGCAGAAAAAGCUGAGCGGCUGAGGAAGAAGUGGGAGGAGGAGGAAGAGGAGAGACUGAGGCAGAUCUCAGUACCUGUCGAACCAAAAAAGUGUCCUCCUCUGGGUUUGGAGUCUCACCGGGUGGAGGACGACCAGCUGCUGGCGUCCUCGCAGUCUCACCACGGCUUCGCGGCUCAGAGGGGACGACUCAACA
Non-coding RNA from Plectropomus leopardus (leopard coralgrouper), 221 nucleotides. NCBI's taxonomy places the organism in Eukaryota, Metazoa, Chordata, Actinopteri, Perciformes, Serranidae. The record is from RefSeq and is a predicted model, not a curated record.